This 109-nucleotide microRNA precursor is filed under the name Orobanche cernua var. cumana. Its description in RNAcentral is "miR166c". The stretch from base 8 to 101 matches the Rfam family "mir-166 microRNA precursor family". From Rfam's summary of the family: This family represents the plant microRNA (miRNA) precursor mir-166. Animal miRNAs are transcribed as ~70nt precursors and subsequently processed by the Dicer enzyme to give a ~22nt product. Lineage: Eukaryota; Viridiplantae; Streptophyta; Magnoliopsida; Lamiales; Orobanchaceae. The record is from RNAcentral.
AUGAAAUGUUGAGGGGAAUGCUCGUCUGGUUCGAGACCAUUCUUCGACUUUUUAAGCACGUUGUGUCGAAUGAUCUCGGACCAGGCUUCAUUCCCCUCAACUUUUUCAA